GUUAUAUAUAUAUCCCAAAUAAAUAUGGAUGGACAUUAAAACUUUGCUAAAACAACAAAGCUGGUGAUGGUGUCCCAAGACUUUUGCAGAGUAAUGUAUAUUGACCAAGAGUUGUAAUGAUAAAAAAAAUGCAUGUCGUCUAUUAUUUUCUUUAAAUGCACAUUUAUUCACAGUUCAGUAGGACAGUAAAUUAUCUGAAAGUGAAAUCAUUAUUGAAGGUGAUAUCAUUGUCACUGCAUUCAUUGUUACAUGAUUUUAAACAGUGGGAAUCAUUGUGUAAGUUUCUUAAUAAUAUCAAAUACUUUUUAGCUGAGAAGCCAGGUGAAACUAUAAGGGCACUAUGAUUUACUUUCAUAUUAUCAUUCUUUUAUAGAUGAGGAGCAACCAGUAAGAAAAAGCAAAAAGAUGUUUUGAUGUUGCCUGAGGCACCUUAUUCACAUCAGUCAAUUUCUUCCAAUAAUGAAUCAAGAAAUCCUGGAGUGGAGAAUCAUUCUGAAAGUAGACCAAAUACAGGACAACACCACAGCAGUGGUUGGAAAAAUGCAGCAGACAAUGAGCAAGCCAAGCUGACUUUCAAAAGAUGAUUCGUUAUCUGUUUCUUCAAAGGGGAGGCAGUUUGGGAGAUGGGAAAUAGGAGGAUGCUACAGUUACACAGGGCGAAUUUCAGCAGCUCAGUUUCACACUUGCAACUAACAAUGAAUUAUAGUGAGUCUGUGUGAAUCCCAAACAUCUCAAAAUUAUUUUUGUAUAUAAAUUGUAUGUAAAUUGUAAUGUUGUAAAUAAGAAUGCACAUUGUAAAUGUUAAUAGCACAUAAACAUUAAUAGCAAUGAAUAGUCUGUUUUUAAAACAAAAAUAAUGUUUGAUGCUUUGGAUACAUAUAGUAUCAUAUACUCUACAUAGUAUAAUUCAAGAUGCCUUUAACACAAAAACCUACAAUAAUAUCAAAGAUCAAUGUAUAAGACAACUUACAUUAUUUUAUGUCAUAGUAAACU
Molecule: long non-coding RNA, 993 nt
Organism: Misgurnus anguillicaudatus (oriental weatherfish)
Lineage: Eukaryota; Metazoa; Chordata; Actinopteri; Cypriniformes; Cobitidae
Source: RefSeq, a predicted model, not a curated record